GACGAACGCUGGCGGCGUGCCUAAUACAUGCAAGUAGAACGCACAGUUUAUACCGUAGCUUGCUACACCAUAAACUGUGAGUUGCGAACGGGUGAGUAACGCGUAGGUAACCUGCCUGGUAGCGGGGGAUAACUAUUGGAAACGAUAGCUAAUACCGCAUAAUAUUGAUUAUUGCAUGAUAAUUGAUUGAAAGAUGCUAUUGCAUCACUACCAGAUGGACCUGCGUUGUAUUAGCUAGUAGGUGAGGUAACGGCUCACCUAGGCGACGAUACAUAGCCGACCUGAGAGGGUGAUCGGCCACACUGGGACUGAGACACGGCCCAGACUCCUACGGGAGGCAGCAGUAGGGAAUCUUCGGCAAUGGACGAAAGUCUGACCGAGCAACGCCGCGUGAGUGAAGAAGGUUGUCGGAUCGUAAAGCUCGGUUGUAAGAGAAGAACGGGUGUGAGAGUGGAAAGUUCACACUGUGACGGUAUCUGACCAGAAAGGGACGGCUAACUACGUG
Molecule: ribosomal RNA, 505 nt
Filed under: uncultured bacterium
Lineage: Bacteria
Description: partial 16S ribosomal RNA
Rfam family: Bacterial small subunit ribosomal RNA
Source: RNAcentral